Molecule: long non-coding RNA, 1566 nt
Organism: Hemicordylus capensis (graceful crag lizard)
Lineage: Eukaryota; Metazoa; Chordata; Lepidosauria; Squamata; Cordylidae
Exons: 2
Source: RefSeq, a predicted model, not a curated record
CUAAACUAACUACUCCCCAUCAAGUCCACACAAUUUACAGAGACAGCAUUAGGCCAGUUCACAUGAAAUUCCAAACUAUGGAAUUAAUGUGAGCAAGCCUUGUGUGCACUGCUUCUUCCUCUUGUGUUCUCUGAUUCUCUACCUGACUUCCUGGUUCAUGGUAAACUAUAGUCUGCUGUUCCAAAUCUAGGGAAGUUACGGUUUGGGGAAGCCAUAGCUUGCAAGAAAAUUAAACUGAGAGCAGUCCUUAGCAACAUAUUUAUGCAAGUGUAUAGGGUUUUUGGAGGGAAGGGAGAAAAGUGAAAAUUGUUCUCCCCGACUGCUGUGCAAUGUGUCAUCGUUUCUGGUGACUUCUUUAAGCAGCUCUAACAUUCCUGACACAGCAGCACAGCUGAGAACUGUGUCUUGUAUAGCAGCUGUAGGCUACAAGACCAGCUUGACACAAUGAAGACAUGACUGUCAAUAUAUUUUCUCUCUACAUAAGCAUGGUAUACUGUAAGUCAGUGAUUCCCAGCCAGGGGUAUGUGUCUCUCUAGGGGUACUUGAAGGGCUCCUAGGGGGUCCACAGAGCCCUCCUGCUUCCCCACAGCACUGCUGCAUUACUGCCUGAGGAUCAGAGGAUUGUCUGCCUGAAGCAGCUGAGACCUCCACAAUGUGUUCUCCGCAGGAGGGGAAGUGGGUUGUGUUGGGGAGAAUCAGGCAACAUUCCUAUCUCCCUCUCUGCUCCCAAAUGAUUAGCUAUAUACUGAGGCUCAGCCCAUUCCUCCCUUAACCUAACUGACAGGGUCAGCAGCCAGGGAAAUGCUGUCGCUGAGCAUCAGCCACAGCAUCACUAAAAGUUUCUAGGGCGGGUACCUAAGCUGCAGCUUUGCAAGAGAAGGGGCAGGCUUGUUUUAAAAGUUCGGGAAACCGGCUGUAAGCCGUGGAGAGUGUAUUCCCAUUUAUUUGCUUUAGUUCUCAGAACUCACCUUGCUCCCACCAUGAGCUCUCUUGUUCUUGGGUUCCUCUGCAGGCUUUUCACAUCCUACUUCAGAUGCUUGGAAAAAAGAACAAUCACCAGGAACGUGAGUUUGUUUUGAUUGGUUUGUUUGGAAAGUCUGGAGAGAAAAGGGUGAAUAAAAGGAAGCUUGACGGCGGCAGAGAAGUCAGGAGGAGCAAGGAGUAAGAGUCAGAGAGACAUCUCAGAGACAGGAGCAGAGCUGGAACCAUGAAGAGACAAGCAGACUGCAGAAGAAAGCUGACCAGGGGCAGUCAGAGGCAGAGAGCUUGAAAUCGCUGAGCUGGAAUCACUGCAGCAUAGCAGAGGCAGAAACUACUAGGUUGUAGUAGUCAAGAAGCCAGGUCUACUGCGGGGAAAGAGGGAAGCUUUGGGAUAAGCUAUUCUUUGCACUACUUUGAGACUGUUUCUGGGCCUAGUUUGCAUAGGCUAUUGGACUUCGCUAUUUCAAUGCUUUUCUUGUACUUUUGCGCAACUGAACAUUUUUUCUAUUUUUACUCAAUAUUACUGCACUAUUAUAAAACUAAGAAGAUUUUGAACCAAGUAAAACUUUUCCCUGUUUUCUGGAA